GAUGGGACCUCGCGAGCAUUGCUGAGGCGGCUCGCGCAUCGAUCCAGCUCCAGCUGGCACCGAGUGAUUCUCGGGGAGCCAUCGACCGCGACCGACCUCCGGUGCUCUCGACGGACCAACGGCAUUGUAGAACUUUGAUCCGGUUGCGUAGUGCCCUGAUCUGGAACCGACCGCUCUCGUUGGAGACUCCAGUACACGAGAUCGAGCCAGGAGACCAGGUCUACGUUCGUGAUUGGAGCGAGGAACCACUUAAGGAACGGUGGAAUGGACCGUACCUGGUGCUGCUAACUACCUUCACCGCUGUAAAAGUGGAAGGAAUUGACUCCUGGAUUCACUACACUAGAGUGAAGAAAGUCCCGAAACAUUGUCGAAUCAGAAGCCUUAGGACCUACGAAACUGAGGCUGAAAUGCAGAUAAGAUGUCGUGUUAUAUGUAUAGCACUUUAAUUGUGAUUUGGUCAGUCUUACCUAUAAUAAUUGUUGGUUCCUUAGAAGAAAAGGGAGGUGGUGACGUAUGUUGUUGGACAAAAUGCCACUCUGUCUUGCAGGUUUACCAUGCCAAUGGGAGGAGAACUAAUAAGGGUUAUCUGGGAAAAGGAAUCGGAAAAUUUUGAAGCACCUGAGAUAAUUUUUGACAGCAAGGACAAAGGAUUAGUAGGGCAUGAGCAGGAGUUGCAGGAAAAUUGGCAAUCUAGAAGUAAAGUAAUGAACAGGUUCUGUUCACGAAAUCUUACUGAAGGAGAGACUAAAUUAAGGAUAGCCAAUCUGACUGAACAAAUGCGGGGAAAAUAUCGUUGUCUGGUCAAGACAAACAAUAGUGCAGACUACGGUGAGAAGAUAAUAUACAUUACUAAAACUAGAGUCAGACGAGCUAUAAAACCGACCGAAUCACCCCAGAUAAUUCAAGUACCCCAACGUGAUCCGGAGGAAAACCUAAUGAUAGGAUUAAUCAAGGAUUUCGCAAAAAUGCAAAAUACGAGUAGAAUAACGGCAUGCCUCCCAAUACCAAAAGCAGCUGGAGAACCAAUUGAGUGGGGAAUAAUAACAAUACCAUUCCCAGAAGGAAACGAGACAGUUAAGUGUCAGGAAAAGGAGAUAAUAAAAAAUGAUACAAGCCCCGGCUGAUGGAAUAAACUGCAGAUAUUUGAUGAUACAUAGCAUGGGACAUCUUGUUUGGGCACUCAGUGAUGGUACCUGGACCACCCACCUUCCAAUAACAGGGCCAGUGCAGGAAAUUACCUUAGGACUCCCCACUUUGUGUCCAGUUUGGAAGCGUUCCCCGUUCAGGGGCAAACUAUAAACUUUGCAGAUUCGAACCAAAAGAAGUAUUGAUGAUGACAUUGACAAUAUAGAUGACACUUGGCAAGAGCCUGAGACUGGAGUGAAAGUAAGAUGGGCACUUGAAUCCCUUUUUGCUCAAAUAGCUGCAUAUCGCAAUAGGGAAAUGAUUUAUAAUUUAAUUGGACAAACUGAGAGAUUGGCCAAGGUGACUAAAAAGGCUUUAGGGAUCUAAAUUUGCAAUUACAGGCAACAACCAAAAUGACUCUGCACAACAGAAUGGCAUUAGACACAUUGCUGUUAAAGGAACAUGGUGUUUGUGGAUAUCUCAAAGAUAGAAUCGAUCACUGCUGUGUACAUAUACCAAACAUAACUGCAGAUAUAGAAUAUGACAUUGCUCAAUUAGGGAAAAUUGAAAAGGAAGCUGAAAAGGAAAAAGAAGA
This 1720-nucleotide long non-coding RNA is filed under the name Strigops habroptila (Kakapo). RNAcentral's name for it is "lncRNA (ENSSHBG00005008044.1)". The record is from RNAcentral. Lineage: Eukaryota; Metazoa; Chordata; Aves; Psittaciformes; Psittacidae.